UCUCUCCACGCGCAGCGGUGAACGGAGGCGUCGACCGAGCCCGCCUCUCCACGCGGCAGUAACGACUGGUCCCAUCUACGUCAUCUUCGAUCCAGUCCAUCCCUCGACGUCCCCCUCUCUGUUAGACGAAUGUGGCAUCCGGACGCCGCCUUGGCUCCCUUUACAGGGAAGGUUGUUUGCAGUGAUGGGUGACAACAUAUGCGCAGGAUUUUUCUGAAGUUCAUGCUUGGGUUACAUCAGAUACACAAUGAGAAGCCCGCGGUGAGGCAGUCGUAUUCUUUUGCAACUCAUCCCCCAUAAAUGUGAUGUACAUAGAGAUGUUUCCCCAUAAAGCAAACAUGAAUAAUUUUGAAUAGAAGGGACCCGCAUUGCCUGAUGCUAUCUGAUGCCAUGAUACCACUGAAUGUGUGUAUGAGUGCUUGAAAAUUAAUGAGUAUACUAUUGUAAAAGGAUAUGACACGCAAGUCAACAAAUAUGAAAAUAUCCACGGUUGAUUUUCUUUGUCAUCUUUUUGUUGAGAAGCUUUACAGAUCAUAUUGUUUCAGAGUGAUUACAAUCAGCAUAAACAAGCUCUUCAAUGGAACUACAGAUACCAUUUCAAAAACUUUGAUAUCCAACCGAUCUGGCAAGCUUUGCCUGGGAAUCAGCAACCCUAUUCCACUCAUGGUGGGUUUGCACCACCAUACAGCCACAAAGCCAUUUCAUCAAGGUCUUUGCCUUCUGAUAAAUCGCCCAUAAUAUGGAUCUGCUCUGGUUCCUUGACGUGAGUGCAUUGGCCAUAAUCGAGCACUCCAUCUCCAGAAUCACCUACCCAGAAACAUAGUUGAGUGCAAUGUUGAUGCUCUGUAACUGCAAGGCCACCCAGCAGGCUUCAGAUUUCUCCGUGUCUUCGCAGUUCGGGAUAGGGCUGCAAGCAGCUAGCAGCAUCGAACCAUAGAUAUUCCUGGCCACCUUACCAGCAGGUCCCAAGCUGUCCUGGUUGUUGAAGGAGCUGUCGAUGCUUAUCUUCACCCAGCCCGUGGCCGGAGCCGUCCAACUAUGAGCCAAAGUUUGCUCAUCUGUGGACCUACAGGGGUAGGAAGGAACCAGCCGCCCUUUACCUUUGUGGUCACAGGGGUAUGUGGUCGACCUGUGGUCGGUGGCUCGAAUAGUGUAGAGGAGAGUGAAGGCAUUGUUUGGCAAUGUGAAUAGCUUCAGGUUCAAGUUGGGCGACAACCUCAUCAAAUUAUGAGAGAAGAUGUGGCGGAUUGGCAUGCACGGCAAGAAACGAAGAAUACCACAGGCAAAUGGCGCUAUCUGGGAGUUUUACAGUAGUAUGAAGUUUUCAGUCUGCUCCUAUUAAAAGUCAUGCAAAUUCGUAUGGAGUACCAAUUAUCUGGGUUGAUGCAGAAUGGAAGAGGAGGAGUGGGGUACCAAUCUAGAAGUUUAGUGAAUGGAACAAGUAUGUGAGUCAACCGAUGAACAACUAGAUAAGCAUUGGAGGUCACUCCAUUCUGAAUCUAGAAGGCACUGGAUGUUGUAUGAUAAAAUUGUUAACAUGAAGUCUCCUCGAGCAGAGCUCUGCUUCUUUCCUUUUAGUUCGGUGCAUCACAGCUUUCCCACUGUGCCACCAUCCAUCUUUCCCAUGUGUGAGCGUGUGGUUUCCAUAGAGGGGUGUCAAAAAUAUGAGUCAAGACUCAAGACAACAUAAACUAAGUUCUUAAUUUGCACAGACUAUUCAGUGUUCAUAUUCCCAGGAGUUCUAAAUUUUGUGGGGCAUUUUGUCAUGAAGUUGGUUCUUUGCUUCCACAAGAUGUUAUCCCAAUUUGUGGGGCGUUAUGGAAAAUGAGUUGGACCACAACAUUAAUAUAUUUGCUUCAGAUGAUGAAGACGACGAGAUUGUUAAUGUGAAUGGUCAGCUACCGUCUCAGACUCGUGGUCGUUGCCGACAGAGGGAGGAACCGGGUGACCCAAAAUUGGACGAUGUGAUCUUGCGCCCAGUUUGCCAUCGAUGGUGGCGGCGAAGGGGAGAACCGGAUCCUGUUAUAAUUAUGUCAGAAUCCUCGACAAGGAUGCUCAAUGAUUGUAAGCCUAAUUGUUUAGUUUGGCUUUCUAAUCAAGGAUGCUCUAUCUACAUGUAUUUAUUUAGUGCUUUUCCCCAUGUUGUGCUAGGUUAUAUCUGUACGUUGUUUUCCAAGUAAAAAACACUCUAAUUAUGCCUAUUUAUUUUGUAUAUUUUCUCCAUGUUGUACCAAGUUGUAUUUUUGCCGCGGUCUAUCUACUUCAGUGAUAUGUAUUGUCAUGAACUCAAGCUGCUAUACAAAGAUUUGAGAAUAGUGAUCAAGUAAUGUUAAUUUUUAAGCUUACCUGUGAACAUUCAGUUACAUAUAGUUAUCCAUGCCGUGCUGACUUCUCUGUUCUUUUUAUUUAAUUUUUCAUAUAUAGAUAGAAUAUAGUCUGAUUUUAUGUAUGUUCUAACUAUUCUUAUGGCCAUGAGCAGUUAUAGCAAAAUACUCAUAUUGUGAGCAUUUUGUGUAGUAUAUUCACACUCUAUGAGUACUUGAUCCUUUAGAAUCUUCUACUUUUCCUUAAAAAUAACUGUUAGCAUAGUAUGACAAAGCAUCAACUGCACAAGUGUACCUAUUAUAUGAUUAUAUCAGGUACUAAUUACACAAGUGUACAUAUAAGUUAUUUCUUAUACUUUCUAUAAUGGCAUGCCUUUAUCCUUUGCUCUACCGACUACAGUUUUAACGUUUCCUUAACAUUCACUUAGGCACCUUUCCUAUCUCACCAUUUGAAACUAUGGCAGCCAAAAUAAGCUCAGUGUAUAUUGGAUAUUUAAAAAAUUAUGUACAUUAGUGCUAGAGCUUGAUUUUACCAGUUUAGUAUGUCAUAAUAUAUUUUCAUCAACUUCUUUUUGGGCUAUGUAUGGUUGCUUUGGUUAACCAAAAGUUCAAAACUGAAGUAUAUUGUAAUGAAACUACAACAAAUGAACUUCGGUAAAUACCUUGCCUCAACAUUUUUCUUUAAAUGUGUUUAGUACGUUAUCUUUUCCAGCUGGCCUUUUAAUUCAUGCACCAAGCUAAUCUGUGUUUGUUUCAAUGAAACUUACAGGUUCUACGUUAUCUCGCAAAGUGACCUCACAUGACAUAAUUGCCAAGAUAGGCCUCACUGUUUAUUCAGACGGAUUACAUGAUAUGCCUAUUUAAUCACUAUAAUAGAUAUGAAAAUUAGGGGGUGAAUGGUCUUCUAUACAGCAGCUCGACAGGCCCCAAAAACUAGCAUAGUUGACAGGCUGACAAACAGUUACGUAGUAAAUCAAUGCUAAUUCAAAUAAAAUUGCGGCAGUUCACAAUCUUAGUUUAAUCAAAAAACAUGUAAGUUGGUGUGAUCAUGAACAAGUUUUCUUCGUUCCUUUAGAUUAGUCUCUUAUGAAAGUUUGUGUGACCCAACAUGGAAAUGGAAGUCAGGGAGUGGAUGAAAAAUAAACACUGAUUCAUCAUAGUCUAGCAUUAGUUUUGUCUAUAAUUCUUUAAUUCUGCAGGCCGAGAAGACUUUACCUGCAGACCCGUUCAGGCACAACCAACAUCAGGGAAGAAAGGAAGAAACAACAAGGUGGUCCACUUCAUGUGAUCAGAUUUUCCAGAGUAGUAUCUUAAUCUGGUACUGCCACUCGUGAUGUAGUAUGCGUUCUGAUGCUCUGAAGUAGAGUGUAAAAUGUAUGGUACCGUGUAGGAGCUGUGGUACAUGCAAAGCGGAUUACCGUGUCCAUAGAUCGAUCGCCAGCUUGGCAAGGUUGUUUAGUGAUUGCUAGAGAACAGAACCACGAGCUUUGCGUGUGUUUAGGUGUAAAGUUUAUUUCCGAGAAAGCAACCUCAGAUGCAUUCUGAACAUUUGCCGGUAUGAAUGCUGGUGUCAGACCGAGAACCCGUGUGUCCAUGGUCGGUCAUUUGACAUGUUUUGGGCUGUGUAGACUUUGAAGAGUCGAUCGGCGGAACCCAAUGUUUUUGGUUCUAACUGAAA
Long non-coding RNA from Lolium rigidum, 4002 nucleotides. RefSeq lists it as uncharacterized. The record is from RefSeq and is a predicted model, not a curated record. Lineage: Eukaryota; Viridiplantae; Streptophyta; Magnoliopsida; Poales; Poaceae. The transcript has 4 exons.